RNAcentral lists this ribosomal RNA (694 nucleotides) under Enterobacter asburiae. RNAcentral's name for it is "bacterial SSU rRNA". It matches the Rfam family "Bacterial small subunit ribosomal RNA", at positions 752 to 1441 of the family's 1533-position model. Lineage: Bacteria; Pseudomonadati; Pseudomonadota; Gammaproteobacteria; Enterobacterales; Enterobacteriaceae. The record is from RNAcentral.
UGCGAAAAGCGUGGGGGAGCAAAACAGGAUUAGAUACCCUGGUAGUCCACGCCGUAAACGGAUGUCGACUUGGGGGGUUGUGCCCUUGAGGCGUGGCUUCCGGAGCUAACGCGUUAAGUCGACCGCCUGGGGAGUACGGCCGCAAGGUUAAAACUCAAAUGAAUUGACGGGGGCCCGCACAAGCGGUGGAGCAUGUGGUUUAAUUCGAUGCAACGCGAAGAACCUUACCUACUCUUGACAUCCAGAGAACUUUCCAGAGAUGGAUUGGUGCCUUCGGGAACUCUGAGACAGGUGCUGCAUGGCUGUCGUCAGCUCGUGUUGUGAAAUGUUGGGUUAAGUCCCGCAACGAGCGCAACCCUUAUCCUUUGUUGCCAGCGGUCCGGCCGGGAACUCAAAGGAGACUGCCAGUGAUAAACUGGAGGAAGGUGGGGAUGACGUCAAGUCAUCAUGGCCCUUACGAGUAGGGCUACACACGUGCUACAAUGGCGCAUACAAAGAGAAGCGACCUCGCGAGAGCAAGCGGACCUCAUAAAGUGCGUCGUAGUCCGGAUUGGAGUCUGCAACUCGACUCCAUGAAGUCGGAAUCGCUAGUAAUCGUAGAUCAGAAUGCUACGGUGAAUACGUUCCCGGGCCUUGUACACACCGCCCGUCACACCAUGGGAGUGGGUUGCAAAAGAAGUAGGUAGCUUAACCU